GCCUGCGGAAGGAUCAUUACAGAAUGAAAAGUGCUUAACUGCAUUUUUUCUUACACAUGUGUUUUUCUUUUUUUGAAAACUUUGCUUUGGUAGGCCUUCUAUAUGGGGCCUGCCAGAGAUUAAACUCAACCAAAUUUUAUUUAAUGUCAACCGAUUAUUUAAUAGUCAAAACUUUCAACAACGGAUCUCUUGGUUCUCGCAUCGAUGAAGAACGCAGCGAAAUGCGAUAAGUAAUAUGAAUUGCAGAUAUUCGUGAAUCAUCGAAUCUUUGAACGCACAUUGCGCCCUUUGGUAUUCCAAAGGGCAUGCCUGUUUGAGCGUCAUUUCUCCCUCAAACCCUCGGGUUUGGUGUUGAGCGAUACGCUGGGUUUGCUUGAAAGAAAGGCGGAGUAUAAACUAAUGGAUAGGUUUUUUCCACUCAUUGGUACAAACUCCAAAACUUCUUCCAAAUUCGACCUCAAAUCAGGUAGGACUACCCGCUGAACUUAAGCAUAUCAAUAGCCCGGAGGAAAACA
RNAcentral lists this ribosomal RNA (515 nucleotides) under Lodderomyces parapsilosis. RNAcentral's name for it is "eukaryotic LSU rRNA". The stretch from base 170 to 323 matches the Rfam family "5.8S ribosomal RNA". Lineage: Eukaryota; Fungi; Ascomycota; Pichiomycetes; Serinales; Debaryomycetaceae. The record is from RNAcentral.